CCCUAACCACCAAGACGCUACGCUAGACAACAACUUUCCUAGUGGAUGGCCGUGCGCAAGAAACGGUUGUUUGCCGCUCUCCCGAAAUACAACAAAAGAUUCCGCGAAGCUCGCUCUAAGAUUGACUCCCGUAUGGAUCCUCACACAAACACACCCUCACACCGGUUACACGGCAGUAGCUUGCUUCCCGUUGUCACUCCACUCGUGCCCUAACUGACUGUCUGCGAGAGCGCAUCACAAGAGAGCACACACCGAAAGCGCCUGCCUGUGUUUCGCGGCUCCGAAGGACACGCAAUACUCCCACGACCGUGCGAGCAUGAGAGCGCGAAGGGAGUAACACCACCCGCGCGCGUACGAAGAGAAAGAGAGAGAGAGCGAAGGGUGUAGUAGUAUGGUGCCGUUGCAGGCGGCUGCUACAAUCGUCGGCCAAGCGGUUGCUGCUGGUUGGAAAAGCUUCCACCUUCAGUCUUCAGUCAGUUUUCCCACCGGUCGUAUGUGCCGCGUACCGCGUUUCGCAAGGCCACCCAUUCGCCUAUCGGUCAAUCUCUGUCAUCUCUGUUUUGUCCCCUGCAACCCAACCCCAACACUAGCAGCAUCAUCAACCAUUCUGGUCCCUUCACACUUUGUGUCCCUCAUCACGAAUUGACCGCGUUGCCGGUAUAGUAAGAUAAUGUAACGUAGAAGUGCAUUGUGCGCGUUUAGUGUGUUAUUCCCAGUGUGUGUGUGUGCGUAUGUGUGUAGGUGCAUUGCUUAUACUGUCUAUUCAACUAACUUAACCCUUUUCUGUGUGUCUGUGUCGUGAACGUCAACGCUCUAGUGUCUAUUUCCAUCCACGUGUGUGCGUGUAUGAGCGUGCUUUUGUGUGUGUAUGGUAGCUAAUCUAUGGAUAAUUGGUGUCUAUGUGCGAAACCCGAAGGAAGCUGUUAUCAACUAGGCUUGGAACCGGCUGGCUUACAGUGAUACACUGUGUUUCUAUGAGUGUGUGUGGCGUAAAGUGUGACAAGCGCAUAGCGUUACUGAAGCUUCAUGCGAGAUACUACUAGGCAGCUUUAGUAGCAGUGUGAACAUACGCAGCAGUACUAAGGAUUAACCAAGUGAAGCACCGAAGGAAGGAAGGCCAAACAAAGCGGGCUCAACCUUCAGAAAGUUUUCUACAGUCGGUGCAAAAACGUGCCGUACAUCACGUGGAGGGAAAGUUUCGCAAAGCAGUUGCUUCUUUCCGUACGACAUUCCGCAGCCCCAUCAGCACAAGUGCUAGGACGUGAAACAAUCGACACAUACGUACGCAGCCUGGAGUGUGGAGCAAACUAAAGCGCGCAAGUGUGACGUGGCGUUGCAAAAAAGCUGCUAAUAAAUCAAUGUAAGAAAUCACAAAGAGAAGAGAAACGCAAAUACGUGGCGAAACGUAGUGUGAAAAGGUGAGCAGCUUUUCGACCGAUUCUCGUAAAGUGAGUGUAAUAAUUGAUAAAUAUUAAACGAAAUAUCGCCAUAAAGUGUCACAGCUUUGCAAAAAGUAAAAGAGGG
Anopheles coluzzii is the source of this 1524-nucleotide long non-coding RNA. RefSeq lists it as uncharacterized. The record is from RefSeq and is a predicted model, not a curated record. The transcript is spliced from 3 exons. Lineage: Eukaryota; Metazoa; Arthropoda; Insecta; Diptera; Culicidae.